UACGAAGGGGGCUAGCGUUGCUCGGAAUUACUGGGCGUAAAGCGCGCGUAGGCGGCUUUGUAAGUUAGAGGUGAAAGCCUGGAGCUCAACUUCAGAAUUGCCUUUAAGACUGCAUCGCUAGAAUCCAGGAGAGGUGAGUGGAAUUCCGAGUGUAGAGGUGAAAUUCGUAGAUAUUCGGAAGAACACCAGUGGCGAAGGCGGCUCACUGGACUGGUAUUGACGCUGAGGUGCGAAAGCGUGGGGAGCAAACAGG
RNAcentral lists this ribosomal RNA (253 nucleotides) under uncultured bacterium. RNAcentral's name for it is "partial 16S ribosomal RNA". It matches the Rfam family "Bacterial small subunit ribosomal RNA", at positions 524 to 776 of the family's 1533-position model. The record is from RNAcentral.